Molecule: ribosomal RNA, 328 nt
Filed under: uncultured Mucilaginibacter sp.
Lineage: Bacteria; Pseudomonadati; Bacteroidota; Sphingobacteriia; Sphingobacteriales; Sphingobacteriaceae
Description: bacterial SSU rRNA
Rfam family: Bacterial small subunit ribosomal RNA
Source: RNAcentral
UGCGUAGGCGGCCUAUUAAGUCAGGGGUGAAAGACGGUAGCUUAACUAUCGCAGUGCCUUUGAUACUGAUGGGCUUGAAUGUACUUGAGGUAGGCGGAAUGUGACAAGUAGCGGUGAAAUGCAUAGAUAUGUCACAGAACACCAAUUGCGAAGGCAGCUUACUAAAGUAUGAUUGACGCUGAGGCACGAAAGCGUGGGGAUCAAACAGGAUUAGAUACCCUGGUAGUCCACGCCCUAAACGAUGAACACUCGAUGUUGGCGAUAUACGGUCAGCGUCUAAGCGAAAGCGUUAAGUGUUCCACCUGGGGAGUACGCCCGCAAGGGUGAA